Molecule: ribosomal RNA, 281 nt
Filed under: uncultured prokaryote
Description: partial 16S ribosomal RNA
Rfam family: Bacterial small subunit ribosomal RNA
Source: RNAcentral
UACGUAGGGGCGAGCCUUGUCCGGAAUGACUGGGCGUAAAGGGCGCGUAGACGGCUUUUUAAGUCUGGAGUGAAAGUCCUGCUUUCAAGGUGGGAAGUGCUUUGGAGACUGGGGAGCUUGAGUGCGGAAGAGGUAAGUGGAAUUCCCAGUGUAGCGGUGAAAUGCGUAGAGAUUGGGAGGAACACCAGUGGCGAAGGCGACUUACUGGGCCGUAACUGACGUUGAUGCGCGAAAGCGUGGGGAGCGAACAGGAUUAGAUACCCGUGUAGUCCCUGAGCGGG